This is a long non-coding RNA of Amphiprion ocellaris (clown anemonefish), 2840 nucleotides long. Lineage: Eukaryota; Metazoa; Chordata; Actinopteri; Pomacentridae. The record is from Ensembl.
GAAAAUAUUAGAAGUUUUACUGAUAUAUAUGGAAUCACUUUAGAUAUUUUUAGGAUUUUUUUGGAAGAUUUUUACUAAUUUUUUGAAAACAUUUACAAUAGUUUUUUUUUUUUUUUUUUUAAAUUUCGUACCAAAUUUGGGGUUUAAGAAAAAACUUUUAAGGGAAACUUUUAAGGAAUUAUUGGAAUUUUCUUCCUGAAGGUUUUGCAAAUUUUCAGAAAUUUGUGGAAUUUUUUUUUUGCUGAAUUUUUGGAUUUUUUCCUGACAAGGAAACAAUAUUUUUUGGUGCCCAUAAAUGAAGACAGCAGGAGGGUUAAGGUCCUCCAUGAUGGUGGAGAACACCACUAGUCUGCAUCAUGAAGAGCACCAGUGUUAUAUUAAUGUUAUAUUUAUGUUACCCACUGAACUCCUGAGCCAGAAACCAGCACACGUUUAAUAGUUGGACGGAAUCUCGUCUCUGUUGCACUCACACUGUAGCUCUGCAGUGUUUCUCCUUUCUGCUGCUCCACGUUUAAAAUGUUUGAAUGUAUUUAAAGUUCUAUGUUUAAAUAAUUCAGAAUUGUAUGUUUUCCUAGUUACAGUUGCUCCCUGUUGUGCAGGUGCAGCUCAGGUGGUUAGGGUUGGAUGAUGGAGCUUCUCAUCACCUCCAUCAGGAAACUGCAUCACAGCUCACCUGGAUAAACAGUAGGCUCUUUUUGGAGGCUCCAGCUCUGGUAUCCUGACAGCCAGACAUUUCCCUGCAGCUGAUUGGCCGAUGGUUCCAGCUGACAUGCUGCUGCAGCUUUGGAUCCAUCAUGGCCUCCUGCAGCAGCUCCAGAUACCAGAACAACGUGUGAAGUGUUUCAAAGGGAAGCUGCAGCCGUCCGACGGCUGAAUUUAAUCCUGGAAUCUUGUGGAUAAGCUUAGACUGCUGGAGGAAGCACCUGCUGGCCGGUUCCAGCGUAAACACCGAGGAGUAGAGGAUGUCAUCCGGAGACAAUAAUCAGGGGUUUCCCAUCCAGCACCGUGUUUACAGGAACAGCUGCAGAACCAGGGUGAAUGCGGAGUUUCUCAGUGAGACGGAGGACAGGAGCUGUUCCCACACAGACAGGAAGUCCAACUGGAGGACCAGAACGAGUAAAGUGCUGAGCUCAUGUGAGCUCAUUUAGAAGGAAAUACAUCUUCAGCAGCAGGUCAGUGCUGGAGGCUGCAGGAGGAGCUGCUCUACUCUCCUUCAUAUCCAGGUUAAAAACAUCUGAGGCUCCAACAGGAGAAGGAAGAAGAUUAAAGAAAGUUCUGAUCCACUGAUCUGGUCUCAGUGUUUCUACAACAUCUGGUUUCUGCUCACAUGGUGGAUGUUUGGAACUUUUACUGAGAUUAGUGAGAGGUUUAGAGGAAAAAUCUGCUCACAACUCAGAGAAUAAAACACUGGAACGCCUUCAGAGGAGUCAUAGGAGUCUUGGUGGCCUCCCUCUCUAGUCUCUUUCUCCUUCAGAGGAGUCAUAGGAGUCUUGGUGGCCUCCCUCUCUAGUCUCUUUCUCCUUCAGAGGAGUCAUAGGAGUCUUCGUGGCCUCCCUCUCUAAUCUCUCAGGUCUUGAGAAUGUCCUGCUCUAGUCAGAUUUAUUCAUGUUCUAUCUUCCUUCCAUUUCUUAAUGAUGGAUUUAACUGGACUCCAGGAGGUCUUCAGGAACUUUAAAUGUUCUUGUAUCGUCCUCACUGAUGCUUUUCAACAACUUUUUGUGAGAGUUUCUUGGUUCUUCAGUCUUCAUGGUGUAGAUCUAUCCAGGAGUUCUGAUCCACCAGAGACUGGACCUUCAGAUCCAGGAGUCUUUAUCCUCCAAUCACUGACCUCAGAUCAGCCAUGAAUGACUUCUGGACCAACUGGCUGCAGCUCAGUUCCAUCAGAGUCACAUUAACCCUUGUGUCGUCCUGCGGGUCAAAUUGACCCGUUUUAAAGUUUGAAAAUGUUCAGUUCAUUUGAGUUCAGUUCAGUUUAUUUGCCAUUUGCAGUAUAAAACCACAUUGGAAAGAGGUGCAAGAAGUUCAAAAUGCAUAUUGUCAACAUCUAAAAACAACAAAUACAGAAGAAAAUAGGACAGUAAAAAGAACAGAUGCCACAUAAAAAACUUAAAAAUAAAUACUAAGAUCCAAUAAAUAGUUCAUAAGAAAAUAAAAAAACAUGUUAGAAUCAAGGUGCAUUAUUUAAAAUCAUCACAGCUUGUGGGAAGAAGCUCUUACAAUGACGAGACGUGGUGCACUUAAUUGACCGAUAUCUUUUCCCUGAGGGCAGGACUUCAAACAUGGCCCUGGCAGGAUGGCCUGAAGAAUCAUUUACUAUCUGUAAAGCCCGGUGUAAAAGUCUCACUUUAUAUGUGGCCUCCAGGAGCAGCAAAGUGCAGCUGAUGGUCCUUCUGCUUCUGGCUGAGCGAACCACUUUGUCCAGAACCUUCUUUUCUUUCAGAGUGAGAUUACCAAACCACACAAUAGAAGAGCUGGUUGCACACCUUCAAUUGCACAAUAAUAAAAGUUUAAAAGAAUCUUUGUGUUUUGGGUAAAUUUUCUAAGUUUACACAAAAAGGAGAGGCGUUGUUUUGCCUUCUUAGCAAUGCUGGUAGUAUUUAGGUUCCAACUGAGGUCAUUUGAAAGAGUGACACCCAAGAAUUUACAAUUUUCAACAAUCUGCACCUGAGUGUCCUGAAUUGUGAUGGGCAAAAAUAUAUAUGGAAAAAAUAUAUAUAUUUUCACAGUGAAACUUCUGAUGUCCACAUUUUCAACAUUUUUGGGAAAUCUUUGAACAUUUUUGGUGGAAAAAAAGAAAUGUUAAAAAAAUGUUUCUGAAGAACAUUCACAUAAAAAUCAAC